CAGCCGCCGCGGUAAUACGAAGGGUGCAAGCGUUAAUCGGAAUUACUGGGCGUAAAGCGUGCGUAGGCGGUUUGUUAAGACAGAUGUGAAAUCCCCGGGCUCAACCUGGGAACUGCAUUUGUGACUGGCAAGCUAGAGUGUGGCAGAGGGGGGUGGAAUUCCGCGUGUAGCAGUGAAAUGCGUAGAUAUGCGGAGGAACACCGAUGGCGAAGGCAGCCCCCUGGGCCAACACUGACGCUCAUGCACGAAAGCGUGGGGAGCAAACAGGAUUAGAGACCCGCGUAGUCCCUGUCUCUUAUAC
Molecule: ribosomal RNA, 301 nt
Filed under: uncultured bacterium
Lineage: Bacteria
Description: partial 16S ribosomal RNA
Rfam family: Bacterial small subunit ribosomal RNA
Source: RNAcentral